ACGUGGUCCCGUUUCUUUUGGCUUGGCCAAAGUUCACACAAGGGUUACCGUGGUGGAU
RNAcentral lists this transfer RNA (58 nucleotides) under Diaphanoeca grandis. Lineage: Eukaryota; Choanoflagellata; Acanthoecida; Stephanoecidae. The record is from RNAcentral.